GGUUAAGCGACUAAGCGUACACGGUGGAUGCCCUGGCAGUCAGAGGCGAUGAAGGACGUGCUAAUCUGCGAUAAGCGUCGGUAAGGUGAUAUGAACCGUUAUAACCGGCGAUUUCCGAAUGGGGAAACCCAGUGUGUUUCGACACACUAUCAUUAACUGAAUCCAUAGGUUAAUGAGGCGAACCGGGGGAACUGAAACAUCUAAGUACCCCGAGGAAAAGAAAUCAACCGAGAUUCCCCCAGUAGCGGCGAGCGAACGGGGAGCAGCCCAGAGCCUGAAUCAGUGUGUGUGUUAGUGGAAGCGUCUGGAAAGGCGCGCGAUACAGGGUGACAGCCCCGUACACAAAAAUGCACAUACUGUGAGCUCGAUGAGUAGGGCGGGACACGUGGUAUCCUGUCUGAAUAUGGGGGGACCAUCCUCCAAGGCUAAAUACUCCUGACUGACCGAUAGUGAACCAGUACCGUGAGGGAAAGGCGAAAAGAACCCCGGCGAGGGGAGUGAAAAAGAACCUGAAACCGUGUACGUACAAGCAGUGGGAGCCUCUUAAUGGGGUGACUGCGUACCUUUUGUAUAAUGGGUCAGCGACUUAUAUUCUGUAGCAAGGUUAACCGAAUAGGGGAGCCGAAGGGAAACCGAGUCUUAACUGGGCGUUAAGUUGCAGGGUAUAGACCCGAAACCCGGUGAUCUAGCCAUGGGCAGGUUGAAGGUUGGGUAACACUAACUGGAGGACCGAACCGACUAAUGUUGAAAAAUUAGCGGAUGACUUGUGGCUGGGGGUGAAAGGCCAAUCAAACCGGGAGAUAGCUGGUUCUCCCCGAAAGCUAUUUAGGUAGCGCCUCGUGAAUUCAUCUCCGGGGGUAGAGCACUGUUUCGGCAAGGGGGUCAUCCCGACUUACCAACCCGAUGCAAACUGCGAAUACCGGAGAAUGUUAUCACGGGAGACACACGGCGGGUGCUAACGUCCGUCGUGAAGAGGGAAACAACCCAGACCGCCAGCUAAGGUCCCAAAGUCAUGGUUAAGUGGGAAACGAUGUGGGAAGGCCCAGACAGCCAGGAUGUUGGCUUAGAAGCAGCCAUCAUUUAAAGAAAGCGUAAUAGCUCACUGGUCGAGUCGGCCUGCGCGGAAGAUGUAACGGGGCUAAACCAUGCACCGAAGCUGCGGCAGCGACACUAUGUGUUGUUGGGUAGGGGAGCGUUCUGUAAGCCUGCGAAGGUGUACUGUGAGGUAUGCUGGAGGUAUCAGAAGUGCGAAUGCUGACAUAAGUAACGAUAAAGCGGGUGAAAAGCCCGCUCGCCGGAAGACCAAGGGUUCCUGUCCAACGUUAAUCGGGGCAGGGUGAGUCGACCCCUAAGGCGAGGCCGAAAGGCGUAGUCGAUGGGAAACAGGUUAAUAUUCCUGUACUUGGUGUUACUGCGAAGGGGGGACGGAGAAGGCUAUGUUGGCCGGGCGACGGUUGUCCCGGUUUAAGCGUGUAGGCUGGUUUUCCAGGCAAAUCCGGAAAAUCAAGGCUGAGGCGUGAUGACGAGGCACUACGGUGCUGAAGCAACAAAUGCCCUGCUUCCAGGAAAAGCCUCUAAGCAUCAGGUAACAUCAAAUCGUACCCCAAACCGACACAGGUGGUCAGGUAGAGAAUACCAAGGCGCUUGAGAGAACUCGGGUGAAGGAACUAGGCAAAAUGGUGCCGUAACUUCGGGAGAAGGCACGCUGAUAUGUAGGUGAAGUCCCUCGCGGAUGGAGCUGAAAUCAGUCGAAGAUACCAGCUGGCUGCAACUGUUUAUUAAAAACACAGCACUGUGCAAACACGAAAGUGGACGUAUACGGUGUGACGCCUGCCCGGUGCCGGAAGGUUAAUUGAUGGGGUUAGCGGUAACGCGAAGCUCUUGAUCGAAGCCCCGGUAAACGGCGGCCGUAACUAUAACGGUCCUAAGGUAGCGAAAUUCCUUGUCGGGUAAGUUCCGACCUGCACGAAUGGCGUAAUGAUGGCCAGGCUGUCUCCACCCGAGACUCAGUGAAAUUGAACUCGCUGUGAAGAUGCAGUGUACCCGCGGCAAGACGGAAAGACCCCGUGAACCUUUACUAUAGCUUGACACUGAACAUUGAGCCUUGAUGUGUAGGAUAGGUGGGAGGCUUUGAAGUGUGGACGCCAGUCUGCAUGGAGCCGGCCUUGAAAUACCACCCUUUAAUGUUUGAUGUUCUAACGUUGGCCCCUGAUCGGGGUUGCGGACAGUGUCUGGUGGGUAGUUUGACUGGGGCGGUCUCCUCCUAAAGAGUAACGGAGGAGCACGAAGGUUGGCUAAUCCUGGUCGGACAUCAGGAGGUUAGUGCAAUGGCAUAAGCCAGCUUGACUGCGAGCGUGACGGCGCGAGCAGGUGCGAAAGCAGGUCAUAGUGAUCCGGUGGUUCUGAAUGGAAGGGCCAUCGCUCAACGGAUAAAAGGUACUCCGGGGAUAACAGGCUGAUACCGCCCAAGAGUUCAUAUCGACGGCGGUGUUUGGCACCUCGAUGUCGGCUCAUCACAUCCUGGGGCUGAAGUAGGUCCCAAGGGUAUGGCUGUUCGCCAUUUAAAGUGGUACGCGAGCUGGGUUUAGAACGUCGUGAGACAGUUCGGUCCCUAUCUGCCGUGGGCGCUGGAGAACUGAGGGGGGCUGCUCCUAGUACGAGAGGACCGGAGUGGACGCAUCACUGGUGUUCGGGUUGUCAUGCCAAUGGCACUGCCCGGUAGCUAAAUGCGGAAGAGAUAAGUGCUGAAAGCAUCUAAGCACGAAACUUGCCCCGAGAUGAGUUCUCCCUGACUCCUUGAGAGUCCUGAAGGAACGUUGAAGACGACGACGUUGAUAGGCCGGGUGUGUAAGCGCAGCGAUGCGUUGAGCUAACCGGUACUAAUGAACCGUGAGGCUUAACCUU
RNAcentral lists this ribosomal RNA (2904 nucleotides) under Escherichia coli. RNAcentral describes it as "23S ribosomal RNA". It matches the Rfam family "Bacterial large subunit ribosomal RNA". The record is from RNAcentral. Lineage: Bacteria; Pseudomonadati; Pseudomonadota; Gammaproteobacteria; Enterobacterales; Enterobacteriaceae.